UUCAUUUUGGUAUCAUUCAGUAAACUGUGUCUCUGAAUAUUCUCAUUUUUAUGAUCAGAAAUUCUGUAAGACGCGAAUAUUAUAAAGAUUCAAUAAAGAAAGUCUCGGGGGACCGGUUGGGUGAUAUUUUUAUCGAAAUUUGACCGCACGUGUGAGCGUACGGAGAAAAGAUCAAAAGCUGAAAUCAUGUCUUGGAAAUGCGAGAUUUGUAACAAGGUAUUUUCAAAGAAAGGAAAUUUGGUGAAACAUAAAAGAACACACACUGGAGACAAACCUUACGAAUGUGAUGUUUGCAACAAAAGAUUUUCGCAGCCAAGUGCCUUAACUGUACAUAAAAGAACACACACUGGAGAGAAACCUUAUGAAUGUGAUGUUUGCAACAAAAGAUUUUCGCAUUCAGGUGCCUUAACUGUACAUAAAAGAAGACACACUGGAGAUAAACCUUAUGAAUGUGAUGUUUGCAACAAAAGAUUUUCACAAUCGAGCCACUUAGCUAGGCAUAAAAGAAUGCAUGCUGGAGACAAACCUUAUGAAUGUGAUGUUUGCAACAAAAGAUUUUCGCAUUCAGGUGCCUUAACUGUACAUAAAAGAAGACACACUGGAGAUAAACCUUAUGAAUGUGAUGUUUGCAACAAAAGAUUUUCACAAUCGAGCCACUUAGCUAGGCAUAAAAGAAUGCAUGCUGGAGACAAACCUUAUGAACGUGAUGUUUGCAACAAAAGAGUUUCGCAGUCAAGUGCCUUAACUGUACAUAAAAGAACACACACUGGAGACAAACCUUAUGAAUGUGAUGUUUGCAACAGAAGAUUUUCACAGUCAGGUGCCUUAACUGUACAUAAAAGGACACACACUGGAGACAAACCUUAUGAAUGUGAUGUUUGCAACAAAGUGUUUUUGCGUUCAUGCCACUUAGCUAGACAUAAAAGUACACAUACUACAGACAAACCUUACAAAUUUAAUGUUUCCAACAGAUUUUCAGAAUCGCACAAGUUAACACAACUUAAAAUAUCAGCACACAAGAGAAACCAGAGUUUUGAGUGUGGUAUCUGCAAGAAGACAUUCACACAACGACAAAGUCUUAAACGUCACUGGAGAUCACACUUGAGAGAUGGCUUAUUAUUGUGCCACACCUGUGGCAAAGAAAUUAUUCAAGGACAAGGACAUGCUAAUGAGAUA
Non-coding RNA from Paramuricea clavata, 1176 nucleotides. The record is from the annotation of a GenBank genome assembly. NCBI's taxonomy places the organism in Eukaryota, Metazoa, Cnidaria, Anthozoa, Malacalcyonacea, Plexauridae.